UGCAUGUAUAGAGAAAGAGUGCUGUUUUAAUAUAUGCCGUUUACUUAGCUCUGAGAGGUAAGCGUUCUGUUUGUUACAGGAUUAAUACCCCUCGAAGACAAGGAGGACUUGGGCCAAUAAGGAUUCCACUUCUUUCAGAUUUGACCCAUCAGAUCUCAAAGGACUAUGGUGUAUACCUAGAGGACUCAGGCCACACUCUUAGAGGUCUCUUCAUUAUUGAUGACAAAGGAAUCCUGAGACAAAUUACUCUGAAUGAUCUUCCUGUGGGUAGAUCAGUGGAUGAGACACUACGUUUGGUUCAAGCAUUCCAGUACACUGACAAACACGGAGAAGUCUGCCCUGCUGGCUGGAAACCUGGUAGUGAAACAGUAAGUAUAUAUAUAUUUUUUUAUGUUG
This 396-nucleotide long non-coding RNA is filed under the name Pan troglodytes (chimpanzee). RNAcentral describes it as "long non-coding RNA NONPTRT018231". Lineage: Eukaryota; Metazoa; Chordata; Mammalia; Primates; Hominidae. The record is from RNAcentral.